AUCCCAUGAUGAGGACAGGCGGCCACAUACUCUUGCAGACGUUCCCACGCUUCAGGAAUAGACUUGUCCCUUGUCUAUUGGAAACUAGAAAUUCGUCCACGAAGGGC
This is a non-coding RNA of Oryza glaberrima (African rice), 107 nucleotides long. Lineage: Eukaryota; Viridiplantae; Streptophyta; Magnoliopsida; Poales; Poaceae. The record is from Rfam.